GGCCUAACACAUGCAAGUCGAGCGGUAGAGAGAAGCUUGCUUCUCUUGAGAGCGGCGGACGGGUGAGUAAUGCCUAGGAAUCUGCCUGGUAGUGGGGGAUAACGCUCGGAAACGGACGCUAAUACCGCAUACGUCCUACGGGAGAAAGCAGGGGACCUUCGGGCCUUGCGCUAUCAGAUGAGCCUAGGUCGGAUUAGCUAGUUGGUGAGGUAAUGGCUCACCAAGGCGACGAUCCGUAACUGGUCUGAGAGGAUGAUCAGUCACACUGGAACUGAGACACGGUCCAGACUCCUACGGGAGGCAGCAGUGGGGAAUAUUGGACAAUGGGCGAAAGCCUGAUCCAGCCAUGCCGCGUGUGUGAAGAAGGUCUUCGGAUUGUAAAGCACUUUAAGUUGGGAGGAAGGGCAGUAAAUUAAUACUUUGCUGUUUUGACGUUACCGACAGAAUAAGCACCGGCUAACUCUGUG
Molecule: ribosomal RNA, 467 nt
Filed under: Pseudomonas sp.
Lineage: Bacteria; Pseudomonadati; Pseudomonadota; Gammaproteobacteria; Pseudomonadales; Pseudomonadaceae
Description: bacterial SSU rRNA
Rfam family: Bacterial small subunit ribosomal RNA
Source: RNAcentral